This is a small nucleolar RNA of Copidosoma floridanum, 74 nucleotides long. Lineage: Eukaryota; Metazoa; Arthropoda; Insecta; Hymenoptera; Encyrtidae. The record is from RefSeq and is a predicted model, not a curated record.
UUUUAUAUGAUGAAAUUAUGAUUUGCUUGAAAAAAACUAUGAUAGUUUCAAUGAGCUUUUUAACACUGAACAAU